RNAcentral lists this ribosomal RNA (2622 nucleotides) under Triticum aestivum (bread wheat). RNAcentral's name for it is "partial small subunit ribosomal RNA". Lineage: Eukaryota; Viridiplantae; Streptophyta; Magnoliopsida; Poales; Poaceae. The record is from RNAcentral.
AUGAUGGAGGUGGCGGUGGAGAGCCCGCAGCCGGCGGCGUGGGACCACUUCAAGGAGGAGGUGGAGGUCAUGGAGGCGGAGGGCGGCGGCACUGCCGUCGCCACCGCCACCGCCACCGCCGCCGCUGCUGCUGCAGGGGAGCUGCUGACGAGGGAGAUCAAGAAUAGGCUGCUGGUCCAUGCCCAUGAGAAUGGGAACCAUGGCCAUGACAAUGGAGGAGAAGCAGAGGAGCUUAAGGCUCAUGAGGAGGAGGAGAAGAAGCAGGAAGAGGCUCCUGAAGAACCCAAGGUUGCUGAAGAGGAGCAGCAGCGUCACAAGAGUAUCUUCUUCGAUGCAGCCAAAGGGUUAUGGAAGUGCCGGCACUGCGAUUGGACGUACCGCCUGAGUAGUCCCUGUGGAAAUGGUACCGUAGAUCAUCGAGGCUAUCGCCACCGAAUCGAACGGAAUAUCGAAUCGUUAGUUGAGAAGAAAGGAUCGUUUUACGGCUCACCGAACAAAGUUCCUGAUAUUAUUACUGAGGUAAGUGCCAGAUAUCUGGUCACGGGAACGAUGCGAUCUGGUGCCGAAAAGCAAGACGCAAACGGAAAUCCGAGUCCGAAAGGCAAAGAGCUUGAAGCACAUGAAAAUGGCAGUGUUCAAGAAAUCAACCAUGGUCCAAACAAAGGCAAGUUAGAAAAUGGAUCACACUCAAAUGGUUCACAUCAGGUCCCCAACGGUGCUGAACCUAAGGCAGAGUACCUGUUUGAAAUCAACAAGACUCAAAUGUACCCAACUGAAGUUGACAAGGACAAACAUGUCACAGAGGCUCAGCCGAAGGUCGAAGAGUACGACCUCGAGAAGAUUUUGGACCAGCAAGAAACUCAUGACCUGUUCUGUCCCAACUGCAAAUCGUGCAUAACUCGGAGGGUGAUCCUGAAGAAGAGGAAAAGGACAGUAAGGCCAGCAACCCCCGAUGGACCGUCAAAGAGACCGUACACUGAAGAAGUAACAGUGCCACUGCCUUCUGCUACUUUUCCUGGAAGUGAUGAGCAAGAGUCACCCAACGUGUUCCGAUGUUUGUCAUGCUUCUCCUUCUUCAUUCCAGCAGGAUGCAGUUUCAACAUAUUCCGUAUAUUUGGGAGGAGGGAUGUGGACCAAGUUGGUGUUCUGCCUCCUCGGGCAUCAGAGGACACGCCUCCUCGGUCUGAAAAUUGCACAAGCUGGCUUCUGUCUUGUUUCCAGCCAGGAGAUAGCCCAAACCAACCUCAUCCUGCUGAUUCAGUGACAGUGCCCCUGUUGUCCGGUACACAGGGCUCCAACAAUACAACCACAACAACUGAAUCUAGCACAUCAUAUGUUCAUCAUAGUCAUGGCACGGUUGUAAAACCAGAGCAGUCGACAGUCGAAUCAUCUUCGGAGAACCAAACUGCUCCAGAUCCAGCGACCACGCCACUGUUGUCUGAUACGGAAAGCCCCAAUGAUACAACCACAACAACUGAAUCUAGCACAUCCUAUGUUCAUCAUAGCCAUGGCAUAGUUGUAAAACCAGACCACUCGAUAACCGAAUCAUCGUCGGAAGAUCAGACCACGACAACCACCACAACUACGACCACAUCGGCAAUAGCUACCACAUCCUCUACAACCACAUCAGCAGCAGCAGCCACCCACUCAUCGUCUGCUGCAGGAAUCUUUCACUCAGACGUAAUGGAAGUGAUAACCGGUGACAUGCCUCCCCUGAAGCCUGCCGGUGGAGUUACCAUGGAUGCAACUCACCACCUACUUGGCCAUGAAGAUGUUCAUGGAACUGCGCCGACAACCUUCGAGAAUGGCUCAUUUACGACCCAUGCAAGUCACACGUCAACACUCAAGGUCGACGGCCCGAACAUGACGACUAUCGGGAGGGGCGAUAUGCAAACCUCGCCGAAUGCUCAACCGGCAGAUCAUGUUGUGGUACCAGUCUUCGGAGAUGUGAAUCAGGUUGCUCCUAGACCCCAACAGAGGGAUGACUGGGAUAUACUGAAAGCCAUAGUGUAUGGAGGCUUAGUGGAGUCAGUCACCAGCCUCUCCGUUGUUUCGGCAGCAGCAUCAAGUGGAGCAAAAACAUUGGACAUAUUCAUCCUGGGCAUAGCCAACCUUAUCGGAGGGCUUCCUCUCAUUUACCACAAUAUCGCCGAUCUGAGAGACAUCCGAGACGUGAACGACGACAAUGAGCAAGUCGGCCACUACUGGCUGCAGCUCGGAAGGCGGUCUAAAGCCCAGCUCCACAUGGUCCUGGCCCUGCUCUCAUACAUGGUGUUCGGGUUGCUUCCACCAGUCAUCUACGGACUGUCGUUCCGCGAGAGCAAUGACAGGGAGAACAAGAUGAUGGCUGUCGCCGGUGCUUCGCUUGCCUCCAUCGCUCUGCUAGCGCUCGGAAAGGCGCAUGUCCAGACAGCACCCAGGGCAUACUUCAAGACGCUCAUGUACUACCUGACGAUCGCGGUGAGCUCGUCGGGGCUGUCGUACGUCGCCGGCGUGCUCAUCACGCGGCUCCUGGAGCACUUUGGUGUCAUCGAGCAAGGCGGUUCGGCAGCUCCAGCUCCUCCAGGGCUGUCGUUCGCUCAUUCAGUGGGUGCACAGACAUCUGCAUGGGCCUCAUUCUGA